Molecule: non-coding RNA, 46 nt
Organism: Schistosoma rodhaini
Lineage: Eukaryota; Metazoa; Platyhelminthes; Trematoda; Strigeidida; Schistosomatidae
Source: Rfam
GCACUGCUGAGGUGUCCCAUAAUAGGACAAAACAACUGUCCAGUGC